GUAACAAGGUUUCCGUAGGUGAACCUGCGGAAGGAUCAUUAGUGAACAUAGGACGUCCAACUUAACUUGGAGUCCGAACUCUCACUUUCUAACCCUGUGCAUUUGUUUGGGGUAGUAGCCUUUCGAGGCGAAUCCCUAUUCACUUAUAAACACAAAGUCUAUGAAUGUAUUUAAUUUUAUAACAAAAUAAAACUUUCAACAACGGAUCUCUUGGCUCUCGCAUCGAUGAAGAACGCAGCGAAAUGCGAUAAGUAAUGUGAAUUGCAGAAUUCAGUGAAUCAUCGAAUCUUUGAACGCACCUUGCGCUCCAUGGUAUUCCGUGGAGCAUGCCUGUUUGAGUGUCAUGAAUACUUCAACCCUCCUCUUUCUUUAUGAUCGAAGAGGUGUUUGGAUUCUGAGCGUUUUGCUGGCCUCGCGGUCGAGCUCGCUCGUAAUGCAUUAGCAUCCGCAAUCGAACUUCGGAUUGACUUGGCGUAAUAGACUAUUCGCUGAGGAAUUCUAGUCUUCGGACUAGAGCCGGGUUGGAUUAAAGGAAGCUCCUAAUCCUAAUGUCUAUUUUAAGAUUGAUCUCAAAUC
RNAcentral lists this ribosomal RNA (576 nucleotides) under Rhodotorula sp. MAC-2011d. RNAcentral describes it as "eukaryotic LSU rRNA". The stretch from base 191 to 344 matches the Rfam family "5.8S ribosomal RNA". The record is from RNAcentral. Lineage: Eukaryota; Fungi; Basidiomycota; Microbotryomycetes; Sporidiobolales; Sporidiobolaceae.